UAGUCCACGCCGUAAACGAUGGUCACUAGUUGUUGGGGUCUUGUACCUCAGUGAUUAAGAGAAAUUGAUAAGUGACCCACCUGGGGAGUACGAUCGCAAGAUUGAAACUCAAAGGAAUUGACGGGGGCCCGCACAAGCGGUGGAGCAUGUGGUUUAAUUCGAUGAUACGCGAGGAACCUUACCAGGGCUUAAAUGUAAGUUGCAUGGUCUAGAGAUAGACUUUUCUUCGGACAUUUUGCAAGGUGCUGCAUGGUUGUCGUCAGCUCGUGCCGUGAGGUGUCAGGUUAAGUCCUAUAACGAGCGCAACCCCUGCCGUCAGUUGCCAGCAAGUAAAGUUGGGGACUCUGACGGGACUGCCGGUGCAAACCGCGAGGAAGGUGGGGACGACGUCAAAUCAUCACGGCCCUUACGUCCUGGGCUACACACGUGCUACAAUGGCCGGUACAGCGAGCAGCCACUUCGCAAGAAGGAGCGAAUCUAUAAAACCGGUCACAGUUCGGAUCGGGGUCUGCAACUCG
RNAcentral lists this ribosomal RNA (518 nucleotides) under uncultured bacterium. Its description in RNAcentral is "bacterial SSU rRNA". It matches the Rfam family "Bacterial small subunit ribosomal RNA", at positions 791 to 1314 of the family's 1533-position model. The record is from RNAcentral.